CUUGAUUUUUAGUAUCAGAUCCUCUAUACUUCCGAUAGUAUAUUAGCUCUACUCUCUCUCUCUCUCUCUAUAUAUAUAUAUAGAGUUGGACUUGGUUACUAUUAGUAGCAAAAUUNCUAUAUAUAUAUAUAUAUAUAUAUAUAUAUAUAUAUAUAUAGAGUUGGACUUGGCUACUAUUAGUAGCAAAAUCCCAUUGUUGCUAAUAGUUUUUUAGCCUUUGGGUCAACUCUUUUCAUUAUUUCUUACCAUUGGAUUAAAUACUAUAACCCAGUGGGGACCACUCAACCCUAGGGGGACCACUCAACUCUAACCGACUAAUAUCAUCCCGACCCUACAAUUUUUCAUCCAAGGGUUAAAAACUUGAUAGCAAAAAGAGCGUUUUACUAUUAAUAGUAUUCCAGCCUAAUUAUAUAUAUAUGAAUCCGGCUACUAUACUUUUAGGAGUACGAUCACCCUCGUACUCAUAAGUUGUUUUCGAUGAUAGAGCUUGCGAAUCGACAAUCCAUACCGUUAAACAUUAUCUGGAGCAUUAAAACGUCUAGAAAUUAAAUUUUAUAAUUUUUCGACAUCAUUUAUCUUACGAUUAAAAGGAUACAAAAUUGACAAUUUUUAACGGCUAGUAUGGAAUAUUUGCUAGUUUAACAGUGUAAAAGAAUCGAAAUCAGUUGAAUUUUUAAUAAAAAAUUUUAUUCACUACAUAGAUAAAGAUUAAUAACUCCGAUCUUAAAUUGAAGGAUCCGAUCAUCCAUUUUUAAGGCGUCGUUCGAUUUUGACUGUUCAUUUUAUACGCGCUUGAUGAACUUUCUUAUAAUUUCGAAAAAUUACGAAAUUUAUUUUCUAGGAGUUUCAAAUACUUUAUAUCAUAUUUAAUGGAGUUGAUCGUCGAUUCGAAAGUUUCAUCAUUGAAAACAACUUAUGAGUACGAAGUGCUCUAUACUAAUAAGAGUAUAGUAACUCUAGCCCCAUAUAU
Molecule: long non-coding RNA, 970 nt
Filed under: Ananas comosus (pineapple)
Lineage: Eukaryota; Viridiplantae; Streptophyta; Magnoliopsida; Poales; Bromeliaceae
Description: long non-coding RNA (ACOM_LNC020521)
Source: RNAcentral